UACGUAGGCAGCGAGCGUUGUUCGGAGUUACUGGGCGUAAAGAGCUCGUAGGCGGUCUGUCGCGUCCGUUGUGAAAACUCGAGGCUCAACCUCGGGCUUGCAGUGGAUACGGGCAGACUAGAGUGCGGUAGGGGAGACUGGAAUUCCUGGUGUAGGCGGUGGAAUGCGCAGAUAGUCAGGAGGAACACCGAUGGCGAAGGCAGGUCUCUGGGCCGCAACUGACGCUGAGGAGCGAAAGCAUGGGGAGCGAACAGG
This 255-nucleotide ribosomal RNA is filed under the name uncultured bacterium. RNAcentral's name for it is "partial 16S ribosomal RNA". It matches the Rfam family "Bacterial small subunit ribosomal RNA", at positions 524 to 776 of the family's 1533-position model. The record is from RNAcentral.